Molecule: unclassified non-coding RNA, 353 nt
Filed under: soil metagenome
Description: partial contains 5.8S ribosomal RNA, internal transcribed spacer 2, and large subunit ribosomal RNA
Rfam family: 5.8S ribosomal RNA (bases 1-120)
Source: RNAcentral
GAUGAAGAACGUAGCGAAAUGCGAUAAGUAAUGUGAAUUGCAGAAUUCAGUGAAUCAUCGAAUCUUUGAACGCACAUUGCGCCCGCCAGUAUUCUGGCGGGCAUGCCUGUUCGAGCGUCAUUACAACCCUCAGGCCCCCGGGCCUGGCGUUGGGGAUCGGCGGAGCCCCCCCGUGGGCACACGCCGUCCCCCAAAUGCAGUGGCGGUCCCGCCGCAGCUUCCAUCGCGUAGUAGCUAACACCUCGCGACUGGAGAGCGGCGCGGCCACGCCGUAAAACACCCAACUCUUCUGAAGUUGACCUCGAAUCAGGUAGGAAUACCCGCUGAACUUAAGCAUAUCAAUAAGCGGAGGA